CAGCAGUGUGUGGUGUUGUUUUGGCUAACAUGGGAACGAUACAAAGAAAAUUAGCCUGGCCCCUGCACAAGGAUGACACACAAAUUCCUGAAGCGUUCCUCAUUUUA
Molecule: small nuclear RNA, 107 nt
Organism: Cynoglossus semilaevis (tongue sole)
Lineage: Eukaryota; Metazoa; Chordata; Actinopteri; Pleuronectiformes; Cynoglossidae
Source: Ensembl